Molecule: long non-coding RNA, 3148 nt
Organism: Ruditapes philippinarum (Manila clam)
Lineage: Eukaryota; Metazoa; Mollusca; Bivalvia; Venerida; Veneridae
Exons: 6
Source: RefSeq, a predicted model, not a curated record
AAAGUUAUAUUCCUGGUCAAAUUCAUCAAAACAGAUUGUCAAAUUAACGCCUUAUUGUUAUCAAAUGCAUUAUUUAACUAGUAUUGACAAAGUUUUCCAACUUAGAAACGCUCUCCGUAACAUUUCUGACCAUUCUAAAAAAUGCAUUUUCUUAUUUGACUGGGUUAGUCAAAUAAGAUUUAUAUUUUGGCGGGAAGCCCUUCGAUUAUUUCCGUAAAUGUUCGGAUCUGAGUCACGUGAUAUGAUUUACCAAACCAAAAUAAUGGCGGACAAUACGAAAGGUGUGUCACGAAUACGAGAAAUAAAUUUUGAGAUUGGAAAAGGAAAAAGCGAAAAGUGGGAAGAAACUGUGAUUUAAUUCAAUCAAGGAUAUACUCCGGUAGUGAUUCAAAGCGAUGAAAAGUUCUAAAAAGCGUAAUUAAAACCAAAAGCGACCGUGAAGUUGUUAUCUGAUUGACAGGUGAGAAAUAAAUCAAUUUCAUCGUCAUCAUGUGUUGCAAUACCACUACCAGGGACAUCAAAGAUGACCUGGACUUCAGUGCAUAUGCAGAGGAGAGUAGCACUAAAGAAAGCCAAUAAAAUCCUUUUGGAGUUGAAUUGAGACACAACCAUUCAUUUCUGGUUUAGUUAUAAAACUGCUACAGACUAUAAACUAUUCAUGAUGAUGGAAUACACCACUGCCUAGUACAAUCAUGGCCCAUUAGAAACCAGAACAAACCAUGGCUGCAAAGGAAAUAAGAUGCACAUAGUCUGAAAGAUCUGGCUGGUGUUCUAAAUAAGAUGACAUAAUAUCUCAACUGCAGAAGUACAGCUGGCAUGUAGGGGUUUCAACAGCACAUCUUGAUGUAUUGUACCAAAAGAUUUGCUUACACACCACCUGCUUAUAGGAUGCACAAUCUUCUUGCAGCCAUAGAUUAUAAUAUACAUGCAAAUAGACCAUACAUCACCAACAAGGGGGAUCUGUUAGACUUCAGCGAGUCUGGAUGAAUUAAAGAAGAAGAAAAAGUAUCAUUAUACCAUUUUUCAUGAUGCUAUAACUCUGAGAAUUAGUGACAUGGAGGGGAUAUAUAAAAUACAAAGUUAGAGGAAGAUGACCCCCACAGACUUUCAAAAUAUUUGGCCCAAGUUAGCCCGAAGCCUACCCGAACCAUUCAUGAGGAACAUAAAUCAAGAUAUGAUUGACUUUUUAUGGAAAAGAAUGAUAAAUAGUGUGUUACACUGAUUGCCCAACUAUUCAAACAUAUUUAAGCUGACAUUGAACACCUGGUAUUCAUGAUAGUUUUAUGAAAUAUCUUUUUAGAUAUGGCACUGUAUCUAUCUUGUUUCGAAAAAAAUUCUCUUGAUUCAUUUGUCAUGACUCAAGGUCUGUUUUUAAUAUUUUGUCAGAAAAAUGACUACUUUUUAUAUAAGUGCAAAAUAUUAUCCAAUCUAUUAAACUAUAAGUGCUGCUAUGAGCUUUAAUGUAGUAACGAAGUUAAAAGUAUUAUUCAAUUAUAUCUUUUGAUAUACAUGUACUAUGUCAUUCACUUUAGCUCAGCUUCUCUAUUUUUUUUUUUUUUGAAAAAAGAAAUAGAGGUUGCUGCCAUUGCCUUCUGCAAACUUGAACCUUGUUCAUAACUUUUAAAGUUCUUGGUGUAUUGUCUAACCUUGGCCUUCAUUCAUAAUUGACCUUGACCUUCAAGGUUAAAUGUCUAAAUUUUGGCUUUGCUUGUUAUUUGCUAUUAGUGGCUUUAACUUUAUUGCCCUUUGUUAAUUUUCAUAUUUCAUUUUUGUCUUGGCCAUUUCUCCUAAACUAUAUUGUUCACCAGGCAACACAUCCGACUCGCGGAGAUCUAGUUGUUAUUAGUCCAUGAAUUGUUUUAGUCCAAUCUAGUUUAUUAGACCAAUGACAUAGGGGCUUUUUAUAUAAAAUCCUUGUUCAAUCAAACAAGGCAAGCCUUAAAAUUAUCUUUGUAUUUACUCCCUCAUCCCAUUCCAGUUCAGAUAGGUUAGGUGGGCUGAUAAAAUAUUUAUUUUUGUGCCCCCACUUUAGCAUUUAGAUUUACCCUUGUCCGUCCAUCCGUAUUUCACCUAGAGUCAUGAAACUUUACUGUAAUGUUGAUCAGCAAGUGUAGUUGUUCACCUUGGUAUUUUCAUCUGGAUAUUUUUAGUAUUUUCAGAGUUACUGCCAUUGAAUUUUUGCAAUUUUCAACUUGUGUCACAUGUUACUCAAGAAGUAUUUGACCUAGAGCAAUGAAACUUAACAGGAAUGUUGAACAUUAUGUGUAGUUGUGCACCUGGGUAUUUUCGUCUGGAUUUAAUAUUUUGAGAGUUAUGGCCCUUGACUUAGUAAAAUUUUGCAAAUUGUGUUUGACUUAGAGUCAUGAAACUUUACAGGAAUGUUGAUCAGCAGGUGUAGUUGCGCAUCUGGGUAUUUUCGUCUGGAAUUAUCUAGGAAUUUUAGAGUUAUUGCCCUUGACUUGGUAAAAUUUUGCAGUUUUCAACUUGUGUCACAUGUAACUCAAAAAGGAUUUGACAUAGAGUCAUUUAACCUUACAGGAAUGUUGCUCAGCAUAUUUAGUUUUGCACCUGGGGUUUGGCUUGUGGAUUUAUCCAGUAUUUGUAGAGUUAUUUCCCUUGACUUAGUAAAAAACCUUUCAUUAUGUUGUUAUUUGUUCCUUGAGUGCUUGAGUGAGAAUCAACCAACUUUACAGGAAUAAUGAUCAACAUCACUAAAUUACAGGAAUAAUGAUUUACAUCACUGUGAAGCUAUGAACCUGGGACUUUCAUGUGGAUUUUUUUUCAGUUUUGUUAGAGUUAUUGCCCUUGACUUACAGUAGUAUAAAUUUACAAUUUUCAACUUGUUCAUGCAUAGCUCAAAAAGUAUUUAUGUUUUCUUUCAUUUCAUUCAGCCAAACAUAAAUAAUUUAUCAUUUAACUCCAUAAUUAAUAUCCUACAGGGAUAAAAUAUAAAUAAGAAAGACUAUAUAGGAGUGGCUACUACAGGUUCACUUUAAUUUAUCGAAUAAUUUACAAUUUUCAACUUGUUCAUGCAUAGCUCAGAAAGUAUUUCACUUGUAGGCCAGAAUGUUUAAAAGAAUGUUGGUCAGCAUGUGUACUUAUGCACCUUGGGGUUAACUUGUGAAUUUUUUCAGUAUUUGUAAAGUUC